AUACUAAUCAAAUUAUCAAAAAUUAAAUACAGAGCAAGGAUCUCCUCAGGAUCUCAGAUAGGUCUCCUGGUGGCCAGUCUUUCCUUGAGGGGCACAACAGAC
Small nucleolar RNA from Mesoplodon densirostris (Blainville's beaked whale), 102 nucleotides. RefSeq annotates it as small nucleolar RNA SNORA64/SNORA10 family. The transcript has a single exon. Lineage: Eukaryota; Metazoa; Chordata; Mammalia; Artiodactyla; Ziphiidae. The record is from RefSeq and is a predicted model, not a curated record.